GAGCCGUGAGGAAGAAUUACCUGUGCCAGAGGCAUAUCUCUUGCCGAUGAUGGCUACACAACCCUCUAAGAAGUUCUGAGCUC
Cannabis sativa is the source of this 83-nucleotide small nucleolar RNA. RefSeq annotates it as small nucleolar RNA U61. NCBI's taxonomy places the organism in Eukaryota, Viridiplantae, Streptophyta, Magnoliopsida, Rosales, Cannabaceae. The transcript has a single exon. The record is from RefSeq and is a predicted model, not a curated record.